This 62-nucleotide transfer RNA is filed under the name human gut metagenome. It matches the Rfam family "tRNA", at positions 7 to 64 of the family's 71-position model. From Rfam's summary of the family: Transfer RNA (tRNA) molecules are approximately 80 nucleotides in length. Their secondary structure includes four short double-helical elements and three loops (D, anti-codon, and T loops). The record is from RNAcentral.
UGUUAGCUCAGUUGGUAGAGCAACUGACUCUUAAUCAGUGGGUCUAGGGUUCGAAUCCCUGA